GGCCCUACGGGAGGCAGCAGUGGGGAAUAUUGGACAAUGGGGGAAACCCUGAUCCAGCGACGCCGCGUGAGUGAAGAAGUAUUUCGGUACGUAAAGCUCUAUCAGCAGGAAGGAAAAUGACGGUACCUGACUAAGAAGCCCCGGCUAACUACGUGCCAGCAGCCGCGGUAAUACGUAGGGGGCAAGCGUUAUCCGGAUUUACUGGGUGUAAAGGGUGCGUAGGCGGCUUUGCAAGUCAGAAGUGAAAUCCAUGGGCUUAACCCAUGAACUGCUUUUGACACUGCAGAGCUUGAGUGGAGUAGAGG
RNAcentral lists this ribosomal RNA (305 nucleotides) under uncultured bacterium. RNAcentral describes it as "bacterial SSU rRNA". It matches the Rfam family "Bacterial small subunit ribosomal RNA", at positions 334 to 657 of the family's 1533-position model. The record is from RNAcentral.